AAAGGGAGACCUAAUUCAGGUAAAAGACGAAAAAAAAGUAGUCGCUACCAAGAAUCAAUCCCGAAAGGUCGGAGCGAGGCGAAAUUGGCUUUCAAACUAGGUUCUGGGUUCAAACAAGACCUGAAUCAGGAACAAGGGCUAUUAGCUCAGGUGGUUAGAGCGCACCCCUGAUAAGGGUGAGGUCCCUGGUUCGAGUCCAGGAUGGCCCACCUGCACAGGUGGCAAAAACAAGAGAAGCGAGGAAUCAGCACCUUAUCUUACUUAUAUAGUAAGAGAGAAUGCUGGCUCUGAGUAAAGAGUCCAGAGGAACCUUGAAAACUGCAUAGAGCUAGGUGAAAAAGCCAAAAAAGAAGACCGCAAG
RNAcentral lists this transfer RNA (361 nucleotides) under uncultured Microcystis sp. Its description in RNAcentral is "partial 16S-23S ribosomal RNA intergenic spacer". The stretch from base 136 to 209 matches the Rfam family "tRNA". The record is from RNAcentral. Lineage: Bacteria; Bacillati; Cyanobacteriota; Cyanophyceae; Chroococcales; Microcystaceae.